Molecule: ribosomal RNA, 314 nt
Filed under: uncultured soil bacterium
Lineage: Bacteria
Description: bacterial SSU rRNA
Rfam family: Bacterial small subunit ribosomal RNA
Source: RNAcentral
AGAUUGAACGCUGGCGGCAUGCCUUACACAUGCAAGUCGAACGGCAGCACGGGAGCAAUCCUGGUGGCGAGUGGCGAACGGGUGAGUAAUACAUCGGAACGUGCCCAAUCGUGGGGGAUAACGCAGCGAAAGCUGUGCUAAUACCGCAUAAGAUCUACGGAUGAAAGCAGGGGAUCGCAAGACCUUGCGCGAAUGGAGCGGCCGAUGGCAGAUUAGGUAGUUGGUGAGGUAAAGGCUCACCAAGCCUUCGAUCUGUAGCUGGUCUGGAGGGGACGACCAGCCACACUGGGACUGAGACGACGGCCCAGACUCCU